Sphaeramia orbicularis (orbiculate cardinalfish) is the source of this 297-nucleotide long non-coding RNA. RefSeq lists it as uncharacterized. NCBI's taxonomy places the organism in Eukaryota, Metazoa, Chordata, Actinopteri, Kurtiformes, Apogonidae. The record is from RefSeq and is a predicted model, not a curated record. The transcript is spliced from 3 exons.
AGCGGUGUUGCACUUCUUUCUAAAAACAUGUUCAAACUUGUCAUAUGAGAGCAUUAAGAUGCCCAUUUCUAGUGGGGUGAAAAACGCAGCCCUCCUCUUCCCAGUUGCCAUGGUGACUCAUCGAAACGGGGCUCCAUUGAUGCUGUCUUUUUAUAAUUGUGGUGCACGUGCUUAACUCCAGGUGAAACUACUCAGAGUUGAUCAAACUAACUCAAAUCAGCUGUUCUGGAACCGAAAACUCAGUUUCCUAUCUGACAGUAGAUCGACUCAGAGUUUAGGGUCAGAAUCAAUGAGUUU